This 4380-nucleotide long non-coding RNA is filed under the name Salmo salar (Atlantic salmon). RNAcentral describes it as "lncRNA (ENSSSAG00000110999.1)". Lineage: Eukaryota; Metazoa; Chordata; Actinopteri; Salmoniformes; Salmonidae. The record is from RNAcentral.
UUCUAUAUUCUUAUUGCCCAAAAAUGAACAGAAUAUUUACAUUAAACAGUAAAGUCCUAAGCAAGAUGGCUGCAUUACUGCGCGAAAUAGUGGCAUCCUGGUAAAAUGACGCAAACCAUAGUUUACGUUCAGUGAAGUGGUAAUACGGUUUCCAUCCACACGCUGUAGCGCCAGCUCCCGCCUGACUGUCUGCGUAAAGCUCGGCGAAUCUCAAGUGGACCGAGAGGAAUUGGUUCAGUAAACGUUCUCUUUUGUUGUUCCUUGACUCGGGCUGUGAUUGCCUGGCGCUUUCCUUCCUGUGUCUUGGGGUUCGGCUCUCGGACAUGUCUCUGUUAGACAAAUCUGCAUGCGUCAGGAGAAAGGAGACUAUAGGGGAAAUGGAGUACUAUAGUAGGUGAGAGUGCGAUGAGGAGAGGAGCCAGAGAGUGAGGCGAUGGGCUGCACCUCUGCUAAGCAGGUGUCGGCCGUGCCCAGCGAUGAGGAGGGCCGGGGCAAGGCCUACAGCAACGGAGACCUCUUCACCGACGAGUACAAGAUGAAGGGAGUGGAGGAGGUGAAGUACAUGCGUGGAGAGGAGGACCGGGUGAACGCACGCAACCAGGAGAACCUGGUGAGAGAGGAGCGACCACACACACACACACACACACACGUAGUCUGACUGUUCAUCAACACACAGAAAACACACCGUCCUCUUUGACAUUCAAUCAACACAUGCAAACAGACAGCGUUUGUGCUAAAUGCACCCAUCCACAGAAGCCCCCCCCACCCAACACACACAGCCACGGUGCCUCCCGAGCAGGUAGAGACAACAUGUAGGCCUGUAUGGAAUGUGGGAGUUUCACUAAAGGCUGUUUUAACCCCUUCCUUCAUGGCCUAUAUUUUGUGAGCAAUAGCUACGAUUUAUUCUUUCCUACAAACAAUAAAAUAACCCGGGGAAAAAGUGCACACCCUUUUGGAUGAGGUAACGAUUGAAGGAAAGGAAUCAAAAGUCGAGAGGAAUGAAAGUCCUACCCAACUAUUGAUUGAUUUGUCAUUUCAGUGUCUCUCUAUUCCACCAUUGUUGUGAAUGUGCUGCCGUCGUCAUAGUCACAUUAGUUUCAACAUAUGCGACAGCUGGCUUAAAACAUGCAGCAGAACAAAUGUCAUUUUCAGAAGUGACUUUUACUCUUUUUAGAAAGCUUAACGGGAACUACUCACAGGGGACUGUUUCUCACAGACGCACAUUUUAAUCCUGCCGAGUCAAAGUGCACACACACCAACAAAUAGAUUUAUAUCCAUGAAAUGCCUGUAGUGAGCAUCCGCAGUAGCAGAGUGAUCUGACGGCUGUGGAGAAGGCAGCUCCUAGUUUAAAACAUGCUAGACCCUUGGCAUGCCGUGCUCCUCCAACGCACAGCCAGCACCUCUAAUGAUCCAGGCCUGUGAGGAGGUUUUUCCCCUGGUCAGUCCCUUUUAGCAUCCCAGCCAGCGUCUGGGUCCAGGCAAGAGCAGGGCAAACCAGGCUCUCAUGCAUGAGGCCUACAUCUACAUGGCAGCCUGUCUCUUCCCAGCACCAAGGCUCCAGCAGCAGGGGUAGGCAGCCUGUCUCUUCCCAGCACCAAGGCUCCUGCAGCAGGGGUAGGCAGCCUGUCUCUUCCCAGCACCAAGGCUCCAGCAGCAGGGGUAGGCAGCCUGUCUCUUCCCAGCACCAAGGCUCCAGCAGCAGGGGUAGGCAGCCUGUCUCUUCCCAGCACCAAGGCUCCAGCAGCAGGGGUAGGCAGCCUGUCUCUUCCCAGCACCAAGGCUCCAGCAGCAGGGGUAGGCAGCCUGUCUCUUCCCAGCACCAAGACUCCAGCAGCAGGGGUAGGCAGCCUGUCUCUUCCCAGCACCAAGACUCCAGCAGCAGGGGUAGGCAGCCUGUCUCUUCCCAGCACCAAGGCUCCAGCAGCAGGGGUAGGCAGCCUGUCUCUUCCCAGCACCAAGGCUCCAGCAGCAGGGGUAGGCAGCCUGUCUCUUCCCAGCCUUAGGGCCACAGCUGGGCCUGGUAACUCUUACCUCCCGCCACAGACCUGUCAGUCCCCUUAACCAUAAGGACACACAACACAGCAGGGGACGGAUGUUUCCAACCUUAGGGCCCUGGCUGGUAGGGCAGGGAGAUGUUCUCCCCCCAGGCCUGCUACAUGGGCAGAUUGGGGUUCGGGGGGCUCUGUGUAUAGUGUCGGGGGUCAGAACUAUGAGCUGAUCUGUGUGUUUCAGGAGAAGACCUCUUUACAGUACAGGGGGAAACCGCACAAAGAAGGCUCUGGAGCCAACGCCAACAGGACAAAUAUCCACACAUCAGAGAGCCAGCAGGAGUUCUUCAGGAUGUUGGAUGAGAAGAUUGAGAAGGGACUGGACUACUGUUCAGAGGAAGAAGAGGCAGAGGAUGGGACAUAGCAAACAAGGCCUGACUCAACCCCCUACAGAGAGCCUCCCAGAGUGUGUGCGAGUGCAUGUUCGUCUGAAUCAGUGUGUGUAUGUUCCACUGCCUUUGUAUGUGAUUCUGUAUGUGUCUGUGUGAGCAUGUAGGUUUUUGGUGUGUGAAAGAGCGAUGGAUAGCUAUUCUCAAAGACUGUUGCCCCCCUCUUGGCUGUCGUCCCAUUGGGCCCCUGAGUGGAUUACUGGAGGGAGAGACGAACGAGGAGACAUACAGACAGACAUGUGGACUCACUACCCUGCAGGACUAUGGAGAGAUGCACAUGGAGACAGACAAACGGACAUGUGGACUCACUGCCCUGCAGGACUAUGGAGAGACCCUCCCCUCUAUCCCAACUACCACCCCAGUGAACUGUACUGUGGUCCCUGGUCCAGCUUUGUGUAUACCACCCCCUCAUCACUACAACAUGGAGAAGGAGGACGGACAGAGGAAGAAUGAGCCUUACGGCAGUCUGGGAGACACCCUCCUGGCUUCCACCCUCCAUGGCCCUGACUACUGUGCUUUGCCUGUGAGGAGCAGAGAUGUGGAUAGAGAAAGAGGGGUGCUGGGGAGGGGGUGGUACUUCCAUAACCCCCAUCACAGAGGCUCGCUGCUGCAGUGGGCCAGAGAGGAUCCGAGAGAGGGAAGGGGUAGGGGGAGGGAGGGAGGGAGGGAAAGAAAAAUCUAGAUAUUUUAAUAAGAGAAAGAAGAGUCAGUGAGUGGCUUAUUUUGAAAUUCUGAACUCCUGCCUUUUUGAAGGACUUUUUUAUUAUGUUGAUCCAGUUCAUUAUUUUUGGUUUAUUUUAAUGUUUUUUUUUUUAAAUUAUUAUUAUUUGGCUUCUAUCAUAGUGCAUCACCUCCUGCAGGCUACAGCUCUAUAGGUCAGAGUUCCUGUGUCACUACACCUGUCCUCUUAAAUAUACCCUCAACGCUAAUAUACCAGACCCUGGCUAUGUGAAACACACUCCACUUCAUAUUCAUAGAUGCAGACACAGAAGUGCACACUCAUACUUUCAGAUACACACAGACAAAUGCAGAUAGACUCAUACACACACAUAUGCCAUUGUAUUCCUGUCGUUCUUUAGCCGCGUGUUAUGUAAGUAUGUUAAUAGGCUGUGAUGUUGAGGGUUUUGGGUGAAUGUUGGAACCAGCAGCUGUGGGUUUCUGCUGCUGGACUUCUUCAUGUUCACUUGUUGUGUUUAUUACUCUUUCCUCUGCAUUGGUAGCCCAGCCUCCACUUCUCUUCAACUCAGCAGUAUUGAUGCUUACUGGCAGCGUGGAGUCACCCUCUGUUGACACACACACACCCACACACCGCCUUUUCAUGGAAGUGAGAAGUGAGAUUUAAAGGAAAAGAGGUGUGGUUGCCUGGGAGACAAAGCCCUGAACGUUCUUCUGUCAUCAUUACUGGAUCGUUCCUUUUUCAUUUGAUUUUCAGUACUUUUUGUUUUUCUAUUAAAAAUAAAAACACAGGAGCUGUUCAUCUGCUGUGUGUAUCUAUCAGUGGUGGAAAAAGUACCCAAUUGUCAUACUUGAGUAAAAGUAAAGAUACCUUAAUAGAAAAUGACUCAAGUCAAAGUCACCCAGUAAAUUACUACUUGAGUAAAAGUCUAAAAGUAUUCGGUUUGAAAUAUACUUAAGUAUCAAAAGUAAAAGUAUGAAUAAUUAAAAAAUUACAAUUAUUAAGCAACCCAGACUGCACAGUUUUUUAUUUACAGAUAGCUAGGGGCACACUCCCAACAGUCAGACAUCAUUUACAAACGAUGCAUUUGUUUAGUGAGUCCGCCAGAUCAGAGGCAGUAGGGAUGACCAGGGAGGUUCUGUUGACAAGUGUGAAUUUUACAAUUUUCUGUCCUGCUAAGCAUCCCAAAUGUAAGAAAUACUUUUGGGUGUCAGGGGAAAAUGUAAGGAGUAAAAAGUACAUUAUUUCCUUCAGGAAUGUAGUGAAG